AACUUGGGUGAAGGGGUGAACCCA
RNAcentral lists this non-coding RNA (24 nucleotides) under Arabidopsis thaliana (thale cress). Lineage: Eukaryota; Viridiplantae; Streptophyta; Magnoliopsida; Brassicales; Brassicaceae. The record is from RNAcentral.